AACGCAUAUUGCGCUCUCUGGUAUUCCGGAGAGCAUGCUUGUUUGAGUAUCAGUAAACACCCCUCAGAACUUCUUGAUUUUCGAAUCUUGGAGCUCUGGAUUUGAGUGAUCCCAACGCGUUCUUUCGCAGAACAUGGCGGGCCACUUGAAAUGCAGGUGCAGCUGGACUUUCUUCUGAGCUAAAAGCAUAUUUAUUUAGUCCUGUCAACACUUGUGUUGCGGAUUAUUACUUCUGCUGCAGCUAACAUAAAGGUUGAUUGUUCAAAUGCUGACUGAUGCAGGAUUUAUCAGUAGCGCGAGCUAACUGUUAAACUCGAUCUCAAAUCAAGUAAGACUACCCGCUGAACUUAA
Molecule: unclassified non-coding RNA, 351 nt
Filed under: uncultured fungus
Lineage: Eukaryota; Fungi
Description: sequence contains ITS2
Rfam family: 5.8S ribosomal RNA (bases 1-52)
Source: RNAcentral